UAUUUGCUCUUUUCUCAUUUCACUAGCUUUAGAUUUGACCCAUGACUUGAAUUGGCCAGUGGACCAUGAGUGCAUACAUAAGACCAAAUAGAGGUCUCCAGUGCCAUUGCUCUAUAUGUGACAUUCUGUGCACUCUGCUCUCUGCCUGAACAUAUGGCCUGCCUCAGAUAGGAGUGGGGCCGCUGACUCGAGUCCUGAGACAAGAACACCUGUGGAGGCCAGCCUAGCUCAGCAGGACUGAGGAAAGUAACAUGGGAUGCCUCUUCUCAUCAGUCAUUCUGUGGUUCUAAAUCUUGCCAAAGAACACCCACUGUAACUGGAUAUACUACGUUAGUUUUUGGUGAAAACCCAGAUUUCUCAAAUCCAUCUUUGCAUCCAGGACUGGGAUUUGGUUCUUGUGGGAGUCAGAGGUGAGUUUCCCCAGGGUGUCCUUCCACGUGUUCUCAAAGAAUCUUGUCUGUCUCCCUUC
RNAcentral lists this long non-coding RNA (469 nucleotides) under Chinchilla lanigera (long-tailed chinchilla). RNAcentral's name for it is "lncRNA (ENSCLAG00000023527.1)". Lineage: Eukaryota; Metazoa; Chordata; Mammalia; Rodentia; Chinchillidae. The record is from RNAcentral.